Heterocephalus glaber (naked mole-rat) is the source of this 1623-nucleotide long non-coding RNA. RefSeq lists it as uncharacterized. The record is from RefSeq and is a predicted model, not a curated record. Lineage: Eukaryota; Metazoa; Chordata; Mammalia; Rodentia; Bathyergidae.
UUUUAAAACAGUUUUUACUCCCAACUUGUGCUAGUUGAUCUUAACUGUCAGCUCAACUCGAUUAAGACUCCUGGACAGGUAGAAGACCAUGGGACGUUCUGUUCAUCAGUGGAUGGAUGCACUGGAAAGAAGUUUCCGGAACUGAAUCCAACAAGUUUGGAGCAUAUUUUUGGUGACAACUAUCAGACACAUAGAAAAUGCCACAACAACUAAAUCAAGUGUGAAGAACAUUCAUCGGAUGUGGGUUUUCAGUACUAAAAGUUAAAGCUAAUCACAAUCUCGGCUUCCAGAAGACAGAGGAGCUAAACCAGCCCCAGAUCCACCUCCUGUCUGACAGAAUGAAACCAGAACUGAUUCAUCUCAACUUGAACCAAAGAGUACACAAGUGUCCAAGAAGUUAACCAUUCUAUAACUCUAGCAAUGAUCAAAAUGCUUUCAAAAUGAAGCAUUCCUCUUUUAUAUAAAAUAUUCUCUAAAUGUUUCCAUAUAGCUAAGUUUUAGAUCUUCCAGAGACCCCUUAAUGCGAAGCAAAGUAAAUACUGAUAUUUUGCAAACAAAGAAACUGAAGCUCAGGGCAUUGAAGGGACCAAGUUAUGUGGGCUGCAAGAGAUGAAUCCAAAAGUAGAAAUCUGGUUUUCUAAUUCAUUAUCCAGUACUAUUUUUCUUUCUGCUCUGUUUUCCUUUUUAAUUGGGUAUUUGUAGUAACUGAGCUCUCUCUUAGUGCAUGCAGAAUGAUUUUAAAAGUUUAAUUCUACGGCGCUGUGUGGAAUAUUCUGGAAAGAUCUCAAAAGGGUCUGGGCCAAUGCCAGCCUCAAAGCUCUGCUCUGCAUCCUACUUUCCCUUUGAAGGCAUUUCACAUUAAAAGAAGCCUCAGACACCAUUUCUUUCUGUCCCACUGACAACCAAAUCCUUUCAAUGAAAAUAUCAAUUGGGUUUAACUGCAGAUUAUUUUUUAUCUAAUUUUGAAAGUCAUAUAAACUUAGCCUGAACAAAUAUGUUCUGCUGCAUGUUCUUCCUGAAUUGCAGUCAGAGUUUUUCAGUAAUUAAGCAUUUCUCCUAGCAUGUUGUACACCAAAUAAUGUUGAAUGCCAAGGCAAGAAAAGCAUUAGUGAAAAUAAAGAAUAAAAUGCAGCCAAAACCAAGCAGUAAAAAUGUUCUGCCUUAUUUAACAGAGAGGUAAUGUAAAAGCAAGCUAUUCAAUGAGAUUAAACUAGGUUCAAUGUCGUUGAUAUGAAUACAUCCACUAAAAUCUUUAGGAAAACAAACCUCACAUUUCAAGUAAUUUUUAAAAAUCACACAGCCGUAUGUGUUAAAGAUGGCUCCUGGAAAGUUUAAGGACUUUAAUGAUAAUUUUUUUUAUUUUUUGCCCAGGUGGGGCUGAAUUUCGGGAUCCUCCUGCCUCUGCUUCCCAGAGUGCUGCAAUUCCAGGUGUGCAUCACCACGCUGGCCUCCUAUAACAUUCUUAAACUGGAGAAAUUACCAGCCUUAGAGUGCAAAAGUAAUCAUCACCAGAAAAUUCUACCAAUACCUUUCAUCAAAAAAAAAGCACUGAGUCCUUUAGAUUCCACCAAAGUUCUUUACAAAGAAUUCUCUUUUUUUCCUUAUAAACAUUCAAUAAAUCAA